RNAcentral lists this ribosomal RNA (256 nucleotides) under uncultured prokaryote. RNAcentral describes it as "partial 16S ribosomal RNA". It matches the Rfam family "Bacterial small subunit ribosomal RNA", at positions 524 to 780 of the family's 1533-position model. The record is from RNAcentral.
UACGUAGGUGGCGAGCGUUAUCCGGAUUUACUGGGUGUAAAGGGCGCGCAGGCGGUAUAUCAAGUCAGCUGUCAAAGACUGGGGCUCAACCCUGGUAUGCGGUUGAAACUGAUAUGCUGGAGUGCUGUAGAGGCAAGUGGAAUUCCCAGUGCAGCGGUGAAAUGCGUAGAUAUUGGGAAGAACACCGGUGGCGAAGGCGACUUGCUGGGCAGCAACUGACGCUGAGGCGCGAAAGCCAGGGGAGCAAACGGGAUUA